RNAcentral lists this ribosomal RNA (1295 nucleotides) under Triticum aestivum (bread wheat). Its description in RNAcentral is "partial small subunit ribosomal RNA". The record is from RNAcentral. Lineage: Eukaryota; Viridiplantae; Streptophyta; Magnoliopsida; Poales; Poaceae.
CUCAUUGUGUCUACCAAUGGCAAUUAGUUCUAGUCAAAAUUCAACUCACCUGAACAUUUUCAUCAUUUCUUGUUGUAGGAGAUUCAACCUGUUAUAAUGUCACUGCUACCACUUAAAGAGGCUGUGAGGGCCAGCAUUGUUUCAAAAGGUUGGAGAAUGCUCUGGAGAUUCCAUAGUAACCUAUGUUUUGACAGCCGCAAUGAUAUGGAUUCUGACACAGAUGAUGAGUUUACUCAUCGGGAUAGUACCAAAAUAAAACAAGCAAAGUUCAUUGAGACUGUAAAUUGUGUUAUUCAACAUCAUAGUGGGCUAGGAAUCAAUAAGUUCAGCAUUAGGUGUGGCCUGCACAAAGAGGACUCUGAACAUCUUAACAGAUGGGUUAGCUUUGCUGCUUCAUCAAAGGCAAAGAUAAUAGAUUUUAAUCUGAAGAUAAUUGAUUGCCCGUUCGACAUAGUUCAUCACUUUCCUCUUGAGGUCUUAGAUGCUCAAGGUAGCUCAUUUGUGCAGUCAUUGUUUCUUGUUGAAGUUGCUAUAAGCCCACACUCGGGCAUACGUGGCUUCAUAGUACUCAGAAGACUUGUUCUAAAAUAUGUUGAGAUAUUUGGAGACUUCCCAGGCUUUUUAGCAAAUUUGCUAGCACUCGAGGACCUAGAGAUGAUCAAGUGCUCCGGUGUAACAACUUUGAGCAUACCACGCCAAGUUGAUAAGCUCAAGCAUUUGCUAGUUGAUAUAAUGGAUGUUGAGAUGGUUGAGUUUCAUGCUGGUGAUCUAACUCAUUUUGAGUACCAAGGGCCAGUGAUCCCUAUAGUGCAUCAUGGUUGCUCAAAAUUAGAGAAGGCAACAAUAAUGUUUGAAGGUAGUAAAGGACUGAGCCAUGUGUUCAAUGAUGUUCCAAUCAUUUUGGGAGUGAAUACACUAAGUGUGCAAGCUCAUGUACUUGCAUAUGAACAGGUUACCUGGUGUCUAUUUAUCUAUUCUGGUUUGCUUACCUCAUUGUUCUUGAAACUGUGUUCUAAUAUUAUCGUAUUUCCCUAUCAUGUUUCAGUUGGAGAAGGUGGCACCAAGACCACAUGGCAUGUUUAUGCAUUCGCGGCACAUGACUUGCGGAUUAACUAUCAUCUCUAGCGUACCAAAGGCUGACAAUGGAGUUCUUCAGCUUGCUUGUUGUCUAAAUCUCACACCACAACUGGAGACGUUGCACUUGGAUAUGACGUAUUCACACUGUAAUGUUUCGGUGCCUGAUGAUUUCGUGGAGGAGGAAGGUCCCCACAUGCAUCGCCAUGAUCAUCUCAGGA